Molecule: long non-coding RNA, 3502 nt
Organism: Manduca sexta (tobacco hornworm)
Lineage: Eukaryota; Metazoa; Arthropoda; Insecta; Lepidoptera; Sphingidae
Exons: 2
Source: RefSeq, a predicted model, not a curated record
UCCAUACUGAGGAGUAUUACUGCCAGUGUCAACUGUCAUGUGACGCAUUCAUGUCUAAAAUUAUUGUCAAAAAUAAAAUUUUUAGGGUAAAUUUAAGACAAUGUGUUACUAUUACGAAAGGUGUUAAUUAAUGAUGCAUGCUGACACAGAAGGUUAGUUUCAAUCAUAAAUGUAUAUUAUGAAUCGUUAGGAAUGAAACAAGUGUUUUUAUAUAUAUUUUGUUACUUAGGCUGAGGAUGGAUGAUAUAUUAGCAGGGAGAGGAGCCCCAUUAUCAACCAACAUGUCAUAAAAAGAAGGAGAUGAGUAACGGGGACAGCUAAAAAGUAUAUGUGGAACGGUUCCCUCAUCCAGGCCACACUCACAUAUAGACGAGUCUCUUAUGUGUAAUUUAUAUAAGUGCACUGGAGACGAGCAAUGACCAAUUCUCAACCGAGAUAUGGUGGCAGAGAUAUGUUUGCUGAAACGUAAUUUGGAAAACCAAGGCCUAGAAGUUAUGUAAGGUUGAAUUUUGUACAGGUUACCUCCUUUAAGGGUACUAGAGUUCCUCCAACUGGUGUUCCAUGCCAGCUCUAGGUCUUGUUUGGCCAAAGUAGAAAGGUCAAAAGAAUACACUGAGAAGUACUCAUCGUUACCAUGAACAAUAGCAUCUUUGGCUAAUUGAUCUACUGUUUCAUUACCUUUAAUACCUAUAUGGCCUGGAAUCCAAGCCACCGACACUUGAAUGUGUUCUACAUUACAUAAUUUAAUCAAAUGCUUAAUUUCUAGAGACAGUGGGUGAAUACAAUUUUUAGCAAAAGGGUUGCUAAGAAGAGACUGGACACAACUUUUAGAGUCGGAAAAAAUUAUAGAAGGCGAAAUAUUGUUAACUCUGAUGUAUUUAAUACAUUCCCUAAUAGCUAAAAAUUCACCAGAAAAUACCGAACAAUAGUGUGGAAAUUUAUAUGAAAAGGAUAUAUUGGCAUUCCAGUGUAAAAAAGCAACACCAACAGGGCUUUCUUUACUUAAUUUAUUUAGAGGCAUCUGUGAAAAAAAUCUUAGCUUGGGGCCAACGUUUCUGAAUAAUGAGUUUUAAUUUAGAAUCUGGAUUAGCAGUCUGUUUAUCUAUACCAAGAGAUAACUCCACAGAAGGGGUUGAAAUUUUAGAGCUAAACUCAACUGAAAAUGCUGGAUGUAUUUUAAAUUUAUUAAUAGCACAAGAUAUACCUUCUAGCCUCCUGUAACUUUCAAUAAGACAGGGUAAGGGUUUAUGAUACCAGUAAGAGUUAGAAAUAAUAAAUGAAUUUAAUAAUCUAAGUUUAGAGAAAAGAGGAUGAGAGGAGUAAUUAGAUAUUUUAUAAAUAUAUCUGUCUGACAGAUAUUGACGUCUGAGAUAAAGAGGAGGGUCAGAACAUUCCACCUGUAAGGCAUUUGUAGGGAGGCAGCAAAAGGGUGGCAAAAUCUAAAUGACUCCUCACAAUAGCAUUAUAUAAUAAUCUGAGGGAGUAAGGAUGUGCUCCCCACCAGACACCCCUUAAACAUCGCAAAAUAUUAAUGUUGCUCUCACAUUUAUUAACAAUAUGGUCUAUGUGCGCUACACCGUUCAUUCUACUGUCAAAUAUUUUACCCAAAAAUUUUACCUCUUUCUUUACUGGAAUUAGGGUCCCAUUGCACUCAACAUCAAUAUGGGGUAUCUGACGUUUUCUAGAAAAGACAACGACUACACUUUUGGAGGCUGAUAGGUCUAAAUAAUUAUUAUUCAGCCAUGAGGAUAGUACAGUCAUGCCACUUUCAAUAUUAUCCUUUGCUACGCUUAUAGAAUUAUUAGAAGAAUAAAUAAGGAGGUCAUCAGCAUACUGUAAGAUAUUACACCCAUCCGAUAUGUGAUGAUCUAUAUCGGUAGUGUAAACAUCAUACAGCAGAGGGCUGAUUACAGAACCUUGAGGUAAUCCUUUCCAUACAGUUCUAGUGGCAGCUUGAAUGCCUGGAUGUCUCAAUGAUAUAGUCCUACCUGAUGAGAGGUUAAAAAGAAAAUUUGUUAUCUUUUCAGGAACCCUUAGCUGAACUAAUUUGUUCCUAAGGACCCAAAGAUUAACAUUAUCAUAUGCCGCUGAAACAUCGAGGAAGCCAGCUACCACUGACUUGUUUUGACUAAAUGCCAACUGAAUGUUAGUAGUGAAAAUGGCAUGACUAUCGGAAAUACUCCGGCCUUUCCUGAAUCCAUAUUGAGAAUCUGCCAGUAAAGAAUGGUGCUCUAGGAACCAUUCUAAUCUGUUUUUUAUCAAGUGUUCUACUACUUUGGGCAUGGUAGAUGAGAGCGCUAUAGGCCGAUAUGAAAGUGAAUUACAAGGGUCUUUCCCUGGUUUGGGAACGGGUACAAUUAAUUGAUGUUUCCAAUUUUCCGGAAUAACUCCAGAAUCAACAAUUAAAUUAAUCAAGUUUAAAAAAUAACUAAGGGAACUAUUCCGGGAUUUUGAAAGAAAGGAAUAAGGGAUACCAUCAGGACCAGGGGAAGAGUCCCUGAUAUGGCUGAGUACUAAUUUUAAUUCUUGAAAAGUAUAAGGGGAGUCUAAAAUAGAAGAAAUAGCCCGGGGGGAAUAUAAAUAGGGAAUUUGAUAGAAAUUAGGAACUGAAGGGGGGAGCUAGCCUGUCUAAAAAAAUCAUCUACCCAGCUUAUUGAGUAGGAAGAAAGGGAACGGUGAUUACGAGACAAUCUAUAAUACUUCAUUUUUUUCCAAACGAGAGACGAAGGAGUUUCAGGCGUUAUAGACGCACAAAAUGUGCGCCAGCCUUGACGUUUUUUUUUACUUAAAAGUCUUUUCGUAGCAGCACUCGCAUUACGAUAGUUUAGGAAAGAGUCAAGGUUAAUGUCAGUGGAACAGAGUGCUUCUGCUUCAUAUCUCCUUUUAAUAGAAUCAGUACACUCUGAAUCCCACCAGGGGGGGGAAGGGAUUUUGCCUAAGACAACAUUUUUUUUAUUAAAUAUCGCCUCUGCAGAAGCAAGUAUAGAAUCUUUAAAUCCCUCACAACAUUCUUUAAUAUUAGAUAACUGAGGUUCAGGAAGCAAAUUCGUUUUUUCUUCAAGUAAAGCGCCAUAGAGACCCCAUUUAGAAGAAUCUAUGAUGUAAGGUAGAAGAGGAGGAAGAAUAGGAACAUUAAUAUUUUGAGAAGGAAAUGAAAUUAGGAUAGGAAAAUGGUCGGAACCAUGAGAGUAAGGAAGACGUGACCACGAUAAUAAGGAAGCUAAAGAGGGAGAGCAAAAAGAGAUGUCAACAUAACUGGGUUGAAUAUUGGGCGGAGUGCGGCGAGUAGGGGACCCAUCAUUUAACACACAUAGGUCAAAUUCGUCUAGGAGAUCCAAAAGUCUGUUACUGAAAGAGUCAUUAUUUGGAGCACCCCAGAUCUGGUUGUGGCAAUUGAAAUCACCCAUUAAUAAUAUAGGAGGGGAAACAGAAGAUAAAAAUCUACGUAACGUGGGAAUAACCGAGUUAUCCCGUCUCGAAAUAUAUACAGAAAUAAAAGAAA